UGACAUUUUCCUAAAAGCCUAGAAAAAUUUCACAUUUGCAGAAAAAUACUCUGUUCCCAUAUUAAAUCUGAUUAAAAUUCAAAUCUAUAUUAACAUCUCAUUACUUUUUGAAAAAAGUGAAUGCCACACAAUGGAAAAUGCUCACUGUCUGUCCUCACUGCUUUUGUGGGCUUCUUAGCAAGGCUGUACUGGGAUCCAGGAGGGCUGAACCACAGCUACAUCCUUGUUAAAACAGUCACCCGGCAUGAAUGUUGGCCUUUAGUUUUUCCUUCCUUUCCCCUCUCCCAUCCCUACAUUGUUUCAGCUGCCAGCUCCCUAAUAUUUUUUUCUGAAGCAAGGGAAAGGGAAGGGCAAAAAUGACUUAGAAAGAAUAACAUUUCUUUCUAUGGACUUAAAUAGAACAUUCAACACAAAACAUCCUGUGUUUUCUUUUAGUUGAUGACACAUUGACUGUAGGAAUGAAUGAACUAAAAACCAGGGCUUGAUUUUCAAAUGGGGAUUAUUUUAGUUGCAUACUACCUGAUCAAGAGAAAGUUGUUCAACUAUUUUAAAUUAUAACCUGUUGGUUUCUCCUCUGUACUCCUGAUCUCCUUAUCUUGCUGUGUGUUUCUUUUCUCCAUUUUACAUAUCACCUUCUAACACGUGUUUAUUAUGUUUUUUGUUUAUUUUCCCACUCUCCUGGCCAUGAUGGAAGUCCAUGAGAGCAAGCAUCUUUGUCCGUUUGGCUCACUAUUGGAUUCCCUGUUUUAAAAAUAUCACCCAGCCCAGCAAAAAGUUUGGAAACCUUCAUCUAGAAAGUGGUCUAGCAAAGUGUGGUCCAUGGAUGAGUUUGAUCUGCAAACUGCUUGUUAUUGGUUCAUGACAAGGUCCACCAAUUGCAUUUUGAGAGCUCAGAUAAGCAGAGAGCAAUGCAAUUUGUCACGGAAGGAUGAUUAUGUAUAUGCACUGUCAUGUCUAUUUCCACGCCUAACUCAAAAGAGACACAGGGAGAAAGUGAGCUCAGCCUGGAUAAAUUGGAAGUUGUGAUGACUUCUAGGAAGCCUCAGGAAAAAGAAACAAAGACAACACUGGCCUGCUGCUCUCUGCAAUGGUGGGACUCUUGUGGGACAACUGUUUUAGGAAUGAAGGUGUCUACCCUCUCUAGAAAUGAAAAUGCAAGUUUGGCUGUGGUUAAGUAUUGGAUGGAGGCAAAAAGAAACUGACAUAUUUGCUUCUUUUCAAUUGUUUGAUUCACCCUGAAGGGCAUGGCUGCCUAAUUUUUUUUUCCAGAGAUAGGUGGACAGAUAAAGACAGGAAAGUAACAUCCACAGACUGCCCUCUGUGAAGGUGACAGUGAUGAGAGGAAUGCUUGAUCUGAACAUUGGUAAAUAAAGUGACCGCGUAUUUCCCUAGCCAGGAGAGCAAUCUGGCUCAAAAGAAACGAGAACAAUGACAUUACUGCCAGGCUGCUCCUAAGCCUUUGGCUAUUCUGUUCAGUGCACAUAAAAAGCAGUGAACAUAGCUGUGACCUCCCUUGUUGGCAGUAUCACAAUUCUUUGGGGCUCCACUUUGAGAAAUUGAGACCUACCUACCUUAACCCUUGGGGGGUUAAGCUUUCAGACUGGAAUGAUAACUGAACUAUUCAUUUGCAGUAAUUCUGGGUUUUGUGCAUAUCUUAAAAAGGAAUACCGGGCUUGCCUAUAUUCAUUACAACAUCCUCCCAGCUUUCAAA
RNAcentral lists this long non-coding RNA (1711 nucleotides) under Pan troglodytes (chimpanzee). RNAcentral describes it as "long non-coding RNA NONPTRT004016". The record is from RNAcentral. Lineage: Eukaryota; Metazoa; Chordata; Mammalia; Primates; Hominidae.